CAAGUCGAGCGAACUGAUUAGAAGCUUGCUUCUAUGACGUUAGCGGCGGACGGGUGAGUAACACGUGGGCAACCUGCCUGUAAGACUGGGAUAACUUCGGGAAACCGAAGCUAAUACCGGAUAGGAUCUUCUCCUUCAUGGGAGAUGAUUGAAAGAUGGUUUCGGCUAUCACUUACAGAUGGGCCCGCGGUGCAUUAGCUAGUUAGUGAGGUAACGGCUCACCAAGGCAACGAUGCAUAGCCGACCUGAGAGGGUGAUCGGCCACACUGGGACUGAGACACGGCCCAGACUCCUACGGGAGGCAGCAGUAGGGAAUCUUCCGCAAUGGACGAAAGUCUGACGGAGCAACGCCGCGUGAGUGAUGAAGGCUUUCGGGUCGUAAAACUCUGUUGUUAGGGAAGAACAAGUACGAGAGUAACUGCUCGUACCUUGACGGUACCUAACCAGAAAGCCACGGCUAACUACGUGCCAGCAGCCGCGGUAAUACGUAGGUGGCAAGCGUUAUCCGGAAUUAUUGGGCGUAAAGCGCGCGCAGGCGGUUUCUUAAGUCUGAUGUGAAAGCCCACGGCUCAACCGUGGAGGGUCAUUGGAAACUGGGGAACUUGAGUGCAGAAGAGAAAAGCGGAAUUCCACGUGUAGCGGUGAAAUGCGUAGAGAUGUGGAGGAACACCAGUGGCGAAGGCGGCUUUUUGGUCUGUAACUGACGCUGAGGCGCGAAAGCGUGGGGAGCAAACAGGAUUAGAUACCCUGGUAGUCCACGCCGUAAACGAUGAGUGCUAAGUGUUAGAGGGUUUCCGCCCUUUAGUGCUGCAGCUAACGCAUUAAGCACUCCGCCUGGGGAGUACGGUCGCAAGACUGAAACUCAAGGAAUUGACGGGGGCCCCGCACAAGCGGUGGAGCAUGUGGUUUAAUUC
Molecule: ribosomal RNA, 914 nt
Filed under: uncultured Bacillus sp.
Lineage: Bacteria; Bacillati; Bacillota; Bacilli; Caryophanales; Bacillaceae
Description: bacterial SSU rRNA
Rfam family: Bacterial small subunit ribosomal RNA
Source: RNAcentral